RNAcentral lists this non-coding RNA (27 nucleotides) under Homo sapiens (human). The record is from RNAcentral. Lineage: Eukaryota; Metazoa; Chordata; Mammalia; Primates; Hominidae.
UGCACCAUCGGUAAGUAAACAGGAGCC